RNAcentral lists this long non-coding RNA (1111 nucleotides) under Marmota monax (woodchuck). Lineage: Eukaryota; Metazoa; Chordata; Mammalia; Rodentia; Sciuridae. The record is from RNAcentral.
GAAGGAGGGGCCUGGUGGGCGCUCAGUCCGGCCUGUUCUUCAGGUGAGGAAAUGCCCGAGGCUGAUGCUUUUUAGAAGGAGGUUUCUUCCACUUGCAGCUACAGCGCAGGCCAAGCGCCCACAUCAGGUGGUGGCUUCUUGCUGGCGGAGUCGGUGGUGGCUCAGGGUGCUACACAGAGUCAGAGAGCGGGUGUGUGUCUCCUCGGCCCUCUCUCUGCUCAUAGUUGCCAGGGUUCGGCCUUGGGGGCUCCACCCAGUGGCUUCGUGUGAUCCUAACCCCUCCCAGGGGCCCCCAGCACCACGGUCAGGUUGAGUUUCCACCCUGUCCACACCUCACAAAGGGGAUUAAAUUCAACACUCAAACCCUUGGGGACAUGCUCAAACCAUGUCCAAGCCAUGGCAGUGCCCUUUCCCGAGGACCCCGGAGAGCACCCUUUCUCCCCACCGGCCGCUUGAGGACCCAGGGACGAUUCUCCAGCCAGGGGAGCCUCACCACCCCAUCCUGCGGAACCUUGGGCUCGGACCUCCCGCUUCCAGACCAUGAGAGGCAGGUGCCUGUUGUGCGUGAGAGCAGUCUAUGGGGCUUCGUCACACAGCCAUAUGGACCAGGCACAUGUGCCCAACAGUCACCCCAACAGGGCAGAAGGGUUUCGGAGCACCCAGCAAGGGAGGCCCACGCAGGUGGGCCCUGAGAGGAACCUGAAUGUCACCGGCCAUCUCCUCCGGGGCAUCCCCACUAAGGCCUGGCUGGUGUCCAGCGUCCUGCUGACCGUCUUCCCACUCAGAAAUCAUCUGGACACCACUCACUCUGUCUACCCCACCCCCAAUAAAUCCACACCCUCCAGGCCCCAAGGGAAGGGCUGGGUCGGCGCCCUGGAGCCCCAGGUCUCGGUUCGCCCCCUGACCCUGGCCAGGCUCAAGAGCCUCAGCAGAGACUUCAGAACUGCCCUCACCUACGGCUCGAGGCCCAGCCUGCCCAGUUCACUCGCUGGCCAGCAUCCACGUCCCCUCACCCCAGGCCUGGCUCUCGGGCCAGACUUCACGGGCCGGGCUUCCUGCCUCUUCCUUUUUGGAAGGCGUGGGCCCCUUGGCUUGAGGCUGGCCAGCAGAC